This 205-nucleotide ribosomal RNA is filed under the name uncultured Lactobacillus sp. RNAcentral describes it as "partial 16S ribosomal RNA". It matches the Rfam family "Bacterial small subunit ribosomal RNA", at positions 155 to 354 of the family's 1533-position model. Lineage: Bacteria; Bacillati; Bacillota; Bacilli; Lactobacillales; Lactobacillaceae. The record is from RNAcentral.
AACAGAUGCUAAUACCGGAUAACAACAGAUGAUGCCUAUCAACUGUUUAAAAGAUGGUUCUGCUAUCACUCUUGGAUGGACCUGCGGUGCAUUAGCUAGUUGGUAGGGUAACGGCCUACCAAGGCGAUGAUGCAUAGCCGAGUUGAGAGACUGAUCGGCCACAUUGGGACUGAGACACGGCCCAAACUCCUACGGGAGGCAGCAG